GACGAACGCUGGCGGCGUGCCUAAUACAUGCAAGUUGAGCGCUGAAGGUUGGUACUUGUACCUACUGUAUGAGCAUCGAACGGGUGAGUAACGCGUGGGGAAUCUGCCUUUGAGCGGGGGACAACAUUUGGAAACGAAUGCUAAUACCGCAUAAAAACUUUAAACACAAGUUUUAAGUUUGAAAGAUGCUAUUGCAUCACUCAAAGAUGAUCCCGCGUUGUAUUAGCUAGUUGGUGAGGUAAAGGCUCACCAAGGCGAUGAUACAUAGCCGACCUGAGAGGGUGAUAGGCCACAUUGGGACUGAGACACGGCCCAAAAUCCUACGGGAAGCAGCAGUAGGGAAUCUUCGGCAAUGGACGAAAGUCUGAACGAGCAACGCCGCGGGAGUGAAGAAGGUUGUCGGAUCGUAAAACUCUGUUGGUAGAGAAGAACGUUGGGGAGAGUGGAAAGCUCAUAAAGUGACGGUAACUACCCAGAAAGGGACGGCUAACUACGUG
Molecule: ribosomal RNA, 497 nt
Filed under: uncultured bacterium
Lineage: Bacteria
Description: partial 16S ribosomal RNA
Rfam family: Bacterial small subunit ribosomal RNA
Source: RNAcentral